This is a non-coding RNA of Myodes glareolus (Bank vole), 994 nucleotides long. NCBI's taxonomy places the organism in Eukaryota, Metazoa, Chordata, Mammalia, Rodentia, Cricetidae. The record is from RefSeq and is a predicted model, not a curated record.
CACCAGAGGAGGGGAGAAUGAGCCUGCAAGAGCAGCAGAGAGUGGGCAGACAGCGUGCAGGACUGGCUCAGGGAGAAGCAGGCAUUCCCUCAUUCCCAUUACUUACAGGGCAACUGGGCCUGUGCUGGGAGGUGGGUGUGUAGCCUAGAGCAAAACAGCUGGAUCCCCCACCUGUGCCACAGCUGCAUUCCAGAGGAGGGAGGUGGAGGAGAAACUGGAUAAACAAGAGGAUAAUUUCUAGAAAGUUCUAGGUAGGAAGAAAGAGGGGUUGGCCAGGGAGGGCCUCUGUGAACUGGGGCCUGGAACAGAGAAGACUGUGGAUCGAGCUGGGGGAGCGGCACGUGCAAAGGUCCUGGGGCAGCAGAGUGGGGUGUUGCAGGGGUGAGGCUAGUGUGGUUGUGAGAGGAAAGAAAGGUGCAAGAGGGGCUGGGGGCUGAGCUGGGGUGCACAGCUCUGAAGUCGUUCUGCUGAGAGAGUUGGAGCCCUGGAGGGUUCUGUGGAAAGCCUGUCCUGGAAGAGCAAGAGCAAAGGCAGAAGGACCUGCUGCAGACAGCAGUGGUGGACAGUGUGGACCGAGAGACCCAGGGUGCCCUCUGUCUCUCUUCUCCACACUGCUAUGGACCCUCUGACCCAGAAACCCAAAUACCAGCUGGAAAUGGAGCAGAAGGGGAAACUGAGGCCUUGAGAGGACACUGUGCCCCGUGAUGGCCCCAGAAAGCAGAUAUCCGUGCAGAGCGUGUGCACAUCUGUGUUCAUGGCAGCCACAGUCACAGCAGCCCAAGAAAAGAACAACGCGUUCACCAGGGUGAAUACAGAAGAAGAUGUGGCUCCCUGAAGACGGAUCAUUACUUGGUUAGGAAAGAGACAGCUACCGUAGCAAUGUGGAGAGUCGCCAGGACGCCAAGCACACUGAAGGGCACACAAGGUCACAUGCUGUAUGGCAGCGUCUGUCAUCUGUGAGCGAUAUGUCCUACAAAAACCCAGUAGAGGCCAA